This is a long non-coding RNA of Diachasmimorpha longicaudata, 3519 nucleotides long. RefSeq lists it as uncharacterized. Lineage: Eukaryota; Metazoa; Arthropoda; Insecta; Hymenoptera; Braconidae. The record is from RefSeq and is a predicted model, not a curated record. The transcript has 2 exons.
CUCUUCCUUUAUUGCAUGUAUCAACGUCUGGGGUAGUUGCUGUGUGUCUAGGACUAGACAGCACAGCGCAACUGUGGAAUAAAAAUAAUCGUUUGGACCGGAGGCGAAAAUAAUUUCAGUAUUUGGAGGUUAUGUUCGAAUUAGUUAUGAAUCAACUUGAUGAAUACGUAAAUUCUUUGGUAAACUAUACAGGACAGGAGAAAAUUCAUUUGAGGUAAGUGAACAUUGCCCCCUUCGAUUAGAAAUUCAUUUUAUAAAAAAUAUGGGGGACUUAAAAAACGAAAAAGAGGCCCUUCUUCAAUGAUAGAUAAAAAUUAAAGGAAAUAGUGAAAAAAAUAGUUUUUUAAUGUUCGUUUGGCCAUGACUUUGUGCAACAAGAAGAUGAGGCACAUUGAAUUCUUUCCUAAUGCAUGAUAUGACAAAUCAAUUACCAGGAAGACAAUAAACAUUUAUUGACCGUGAUCUUGAGUUACGUUACUCUUUCACUUUUUUCUUUUACACGAUUCACUACUUGUUGCAAGGCUAUCAACGUACGUGCCCAGAAUGAUAAACAAAAAAUGUCUUUAAGUACAUCAGUAAACAAAUAACUAUUGGAAAUGUCAGAAACUUGAAAAUUGUUGGAACUCGGAUUUGCAAGAAAAUAUUGUAUGAAAAAUUAAGCCCAGAGCUAGUGUCAGGUCGUAUACCUAGACCUGUAGGUAUACAUAGAGUGGAUUCUACUGUUACUCUUUCAAGUAUUCGACGAACCAGUUGUAUUUAUUUCAAUUGGCAAUGGCAAUUGCAUAAAAAUGAGGGCAUACCCCCUUCAAAUAGCAAGAGAUUCUCAAAUGAAUUCAUCAGAGUUCCUUGACUCCUUUCUCCGGCUCUGUAUCCGUUACAAAAUAAUGGGUGGGUGAAUGGGAGAGUACACUAGGUGUAGUACAAAAUUAAGAGGAGUAAAUAACGUGACUCAACAUCUAUGCUGAAAAUACCAUGUACUAUAUACAUUGAAAUAAACGCGCAGUAUUCAGACCCUCGCCACGCCUUGCCAGGCAUCGAAAUCCCUUUGUGUUACGGCUGAAGAAAUAAGAAGGAAAAAAUAUGCAAGAUUUUAUAAACAUUGAAAAUUAUUUUUUGCGAUAAAUCCAUCCGUUUGAUUCACAAUCGUAUGGCAUUGUAAUUUCUCAUCGAUUUAAGAUACGACAUAUCCGGCGGACGGAUAUAUGCUACGCACACGUGCAAUAUGAGAAAGUAUUUCGCAUCUAUUGUGUAAACAUUUAUAUAAAAAAUUCCUCCUGAUUUAUUGUGAAAUUCAUUAUUUUACAGAACCGUUCAUUGUUGAUUGAUUUUCCAGAAUGGGAUGAGAAUUGCACUCUACGAUUUAUUGGAGGAUUUAUAUUUAUUUAUAUUGGAUUUAUACUUAUUUAUAUUAGAUUUAUAUUUAUUGCAUAUUGAUGAAGAUUUGAGAUGUAAUAUCCAGUAAAAUUAGAGACUGUAUCUACAUAACAGCACAUUAACAAUUUAUCUGAGUGGUUUAUAAAGUAAUCAACUCAAAAGUUUCAUUAAUGAUUAGUUUCUCUUCAUGCUGAAGCCACCAUUCCUUUUUUAUGUAACACGAUAUUCCUCGAGCAUUCUGCUAAACUUUUACUUCCCAUACAUUUUACUAGUCUAAAAUGAAAAAGUCUACUGGAUUCAUUUCACACGCACCACAUCAUAACUAUGAAACAAUUUCCGUUAACGACGAACAUGUCCAUGAGUUUACCCAUUUGAUAUAUUUUUUAUUUGCAAUUCUCAGCAACGCCAUAUUUUAUAAAUAAAAUUUCGCUCAAUACAUUGUUCAAUAUAUCGUUUGUCUCAUAUUCAAGGCCAUUUGUUGUACUAGAAACUAUCCUAGUGAAAGCUUAUUCUUAAUUAUGUCUUUCAGCUCAGAACUGAAAAUUAUAAUUUUCUCGUUACGUUACAUGUAUUAUCAUAUUGUUAUUAUGGAGUGAAUGUUUCUCAUCGAAAUGAAUUGUGAAAAAUCCUCAGCUACAGUUUAAUCAUCAAAGUCAACAUAGAAAAAUCCAUACAAUUGUCUAGGGCUUCUAAUGCGAUUGAAGGUAUUCCCUUCGUCACGAAAAUCGGUGGUAAUAAUUUUGCAGAAUGUUAAAGCCCCGAAACUAUUGUACUAUUAUUAAAAUUUUGUUUUUCUCAUGGGCGCAUAUUCCCAUAACUUCUGAGUCAUCUGCGGUUCGAGAAAUUCCUGCUGAAUCAUUCAACGGUAGCAUAAUUUUCUCUGUAUCAGAAAGAGCCAUUAGGUGCAUCAAUAAUUAAGACCAACCUGAAGGCCAAUCUUCCAAGAGACAGGCCAUUAACACGAUAGUGCAAUUGAUCGGUUGAACAGACAUAAAAAUGAACAGAAACAUAUUAAAAUAUUCAUCCAUCCAUACACAUUUAUUUAAUUGUAUUAACGUUCUAUCGACUAUUUAUCGAGGUUCGAUGAUUCGACUAAUUAGUUUGGAGCUAACGAACGUGAUGUUACAGUUCAUUACAGUUAAUUGGAGCGAUAUUCGCCCGAACUGUAGGAUUUCCGUAUGAAACAAGAAUUAUCGUAUGUUCUGUUGUAUAAAAACAACUACAUAUUGACUAACUAACAUAGAAAUUAAUUAUCAUCAAUAAUUUACUGUCCAACGAAAUACAAUACUAAUUAUCAAUACCAAUAAUAACGCAAAAUAAAUACGAAAUAAAGUAAAAAUGCAGAAACUCGUGUGAUAUUCAAAAUAUAAAAAAUAUCUUGGUCACGUAAAGCUGAUAAACAUUGAAAGAUAUUAUUUUUAAAUUCUGGUGGUAUGUAUGAGUCAGGAAAAAAAAAUAUUCAAGUCGCGAUGCAGUUUUUUGUUCGGCCCCUUGUGCAACGUAUUCUAGUCUAUUCUAUACUCUACAAAAUAUAUUAAUAUACAACUGAGCUGGGACAAGUGGAAAUAUUUAAAUAACUUCGUUGGCUUUGAGAAUUUGACAUCGUUCAGUUACAGGUGCAGAUAUAGAAGGGGAAAUGAGGAUGACGUGUUCUCGACGAUACGCAUCGUUCGGUGUAUGCUAUUCACUGUGUUGGAAUAAUGCAGGGGAUAUCCAAUGCGAUUGUGUGCGAUGUGUAAUUUUGGGUAAAUUCGAGGGGCAUCACGAAUAUACGUGAAUCGAUACAACGAUCGACAAAUUGAUCGAUCCAUCAGUGGGCCAGGAUUGCGCUGGAUUUUGCUGAGAAUGAGAAAUAAAAAAUGAGGAAAUUGCCGAUGCCAAUUGCCCAUUGUGCCAUUCGGAAAAAUGCAACCCAUGCAGACAAUCAGGUGGUCUCAGGAAGACGCUCGCUGUGAGCGUUCCACCCAACGUUUCACCUGUCACGCAUCGUCUACCGUAAACUUUGGAAAAGCAAGAUAUUCCAACUGUACAGUGAAUCAUUCUACUUGAAUGAUGAUGGUUAUUAUUAUGUUUUGAAAUAUUGAUGUUAUCAAGUGGUUAUCGUGAAAAAUUCGUUGAUAAUUUAAUAAAGAGAGAUCUGAUGAA